Molecule: long non-coding RNA, 788 nt
Filed under: Sus scrofa (pig)
Lineage: Eukaryota; Metazoa; Chordata; Mammalia; Artiodactyla; Suidae
Description: lncRNA (ENSSSCG00070013888.1)
Source: RNAcentral
GGUGGACGUCACAUGUGCAGCUCAGCUGUUGUGCUGAGAAUUGCUGACACGAGCAGUUCCAACCAGGAAAGCAGAGCUGCUUCCCACGGACAGAUUUUGGGGGUGGGUAGCAGGGACCCUCCUGACGGCUUGCUUCUGGGAUGUAGGAUGCAUUACGGAAAUCAUGAGCCUGUGUCCAGGCGUGGUCUCCUUUUCAUAGACCUGGGUACUGUGGCAACAUCCACCCCACCCCCCCCCCGCCCCCGCCGCAAGGCUGCCUUUUGGCUGCUGGCUGUGCCAUGGAAUGGAGCAUAUGUAUUUCUGCAUAUUUCCACUUUUGUGGUUUCAGUUCCAGGCUUUCAAAUUUUUUUUUCUUUUUUUCAGGAGAGAUCAGAGACAUACAGACUGUACUUCCUUCUGCGACACAGAAUUCGCACCUACUUGCUGAAUGGAAAACUUCCGUACAGACAGAAUAAGAUCAACAAACCAUAGGAGAAACAGAUGAAUUAUACCGUCAAAAACAAGUGAUGGCAGAAACAAAACGCCAUGGACUCAAUUCCACGAUACAGCAGCUGCAGGCUUUCUAAUACUGGAGGAGUAGCAUAAAUUUGAUCCUUUAAAGCCACUUAAUCCCCCUCAACUGCAAUCCCAAUUCCUGCUUUGCUGUUUUGUUGUGUUUUAUCAUUCCAUUGUCCUAAAUUGCUUCAGGGAACUAGAAUGUAGCCUGGAUGCUUCAUCCAAUGCAACUAUAUUCAUCUUCUGAUGACCUUCUCAAUAAAUAAACAUUUUCGUUUUGGAUAAGGGUUCCA